RNAcentral lists this ribosomal RNA (425 nucleotides) under uncultured rumen bacterium. RNAcentral's name for it is "bacterial SSU rRNA". It matches the Rfam family "Bacterial small subunit ribosomal RNA", at positions 354 to 776 of the family's 1533-position model. The record is from RNAcentral.
GUGGGGAAUAUUGGACAAUGGCCGGAAGGCUGAUCCAGCCAUGCCGCGUGCGGGACGACGGCCCUAUGGGUUGUAAACCGCUUUUGCGAGGGAGCAAUAAGAGCCACGUGUGACUCGAUGAGAGUACCUCGCGAAUAAGCAUCGGCUAACUCCGUGCCAGCAGCCGCGGUAAUACGGAGGAUGCAAGCGUUAUCCGGAUUUAUUGGGUUUAAAGGGUGCGCAGGCGGCUUGUUAAGCGGGAGGUGAAAUGCCGGCGCUCAACGUCGGAAGUGCCUCCCGAACUGGUGAGCUUGAAUGACUCUGCCGUGGGAGGAAUGUGUAGUGUAGCGGUGAAAUGCUUAGAGAUUACACAGAACACCGAUUGCGAAGGCAUCUCACGAAGGGUUGAUUGACGCUGAGGCACGAAAGCGUGGGGAUCAAACAGG